This 345-nucleotide unclassified non-coding RNA is filed under the name soil metagenome. Its description in RNAcentral is "partial contains 5.8S ribosomal RNA, internal transcribed spacer 2, and large subunit ribosomal RNA". The stretch from base 1 to 119 matches the Rfam family "5.8S ribosomal RNA", at positions 35 to 154 of the family's 154-position model. The record is from RNAcentral.
GAUGAAGAACGCAGCGAAAUGCGAUACGUAGUGUGAAUUGCAAAUUCAGUGAAUCAUCGAGUCUUUGAACGCACAUUGCGCCCCCUGGUAUUCCGGGGGGCAUGCCUGUCCGAGCGUCAUUGCUGCCCUCAAGCACGGCUUGUGUGUUGGGCCCCGUCCUCCGAUCCCGGGGGACGGGCCCGAAAGGCAGCGGCGGCACCGCGUCCGGUCCUCGAGCGUAUGGGGCUUUGUCACCCGCUCUGUAGGCCCGGCCGGCGCUUGCCGAUCAACCCAAAUUUUUAUCCAGGUUGACCUCGGAUCAGGUAGGGAUACCCGCUGAACUUAAGCAUAUCAAUAAGCGGAGGA